RNAcentral lists this ribosomal RNA (253 nucleotides) under uncultured bacterium. RNAcentral's name for it is "partial 16S ribosomal RNA". It matches the Rfam family "Bacterial small subunit ribosomal RNA", at positions 524 to 776 of the family's 1533-position model. The record is from RNAcentral.
UACGGGGGGUGCGAGCGUUGUCCGGAAUCACUGGGCGUAAAGGGCGCGUAGGUGGUUUGAUAAGGGUGUGGUGAAAGCCCGGGGCUCAACCCCGAGUCUGCCGUGCCGACUGUUAAACUCGAGGGCUGUAGAGGCAGACGGAAUUCCGGGUGUAGCGGUGGAAUGCGUAGAGAUCCGGAGGAAGACCGGUGGCGAAGGCGGUCUGCUGGGCAGUUUCUGACACUGAUGCGCGACAGCGUGGGGAGCAAACAGG